Molecule: ribosomal RNA, 1293 nt
Filed under: Salmonella enterica
Lineage: Bacteria; Pseudomonadati; Pseudomonadota; Gammaproteobacteria; Enterobacterales; Enterobacteriaceae
Description: partial 23S ribosomal RNA
Rfam family: Bacterial large subunit ribosomal RNA
Source: RNAcentral
CCCUGCUUCCAGGAAAAGCCUCUAAGCCUCAGGUAACAUCAAAUCGUACCCCAAACCGACACAGGUGGUCAGGUAGAGAAUACCAAGGCGCUUGAGAGAACUCGGGUGAAGGAACUAGGCAAAAUGGUGCCGUAACUUCGGGAGAAGGCACGCUGACACGUAGGUGAAGUGGUUUACCCAUGGAGCUGAAGUCAGUCGAAGAUACCAGCUGGCUGCAACUGUUUAUUAAAAACACAGCACUGUGCAAACACGAAAGUGGACGUAUACGGUGUGACGCCUGCCCGGUGCCGGAAGGUUAAUUGAUGGGGUCAGCGCAAGCGAAGCUCCUGAUCGAAGCCCCGGUAAACGGCGGCCGUAACUAUAACGGUCCUAAGGUAGCGAAAUUCCUUGUCGGGUAAGUUCCGACCUGCACGAAUGGCGUAAUGAUGGCCAGGCUGUCUCCACCCGGGACUCAGUGAAAUUGAACUCGCUGUGAAGAUGCAGUGUACCCGCGGCAAGACGGAAAGACCCCGUGAACCUUUACUAUAGCUUGACACUGAACACUGGUCCUUGAUGUGCAGGAUAGGUGGGAGGCUUUGAAGUGUGGACGCCAGUCUGCAUGGAGCCAUCCUUGAAAUACCACCCUUUAAUGGCUGGUGUUCUAACGUGGGCCCGUGAACCGGGUUGCGGACAGUGUCUGGUGGGUAGUUUGACUGGGGCGGUCUCCUCCUAAAGAGUAACGGAGGAGCACGAAGGUUGGCUAAUCCUGGUCGGACAUCAGGAGGUUAGUGCAAUGGCAUAAGCCAGCUUGACUGCGAGCGUGACGGCGCGAGCAGGUGCGAAAGCAGGUCAUAGUGAUCCGGUGGUUCUGAAUGGAAGGGCCAUCGCUCAACGGAUAAAAGGUACUCCGGGGAUAACAGGCUGAUACCGCCCAAGAGUUCAUAUCGACGGCGGUGUUUGGCACCUCGAUGUCGGCUCAUCACAUCCUGGGGCUGAAGUAGGUCCCAAGGGUAUGGCUGUUCGCCAUUUAAAGUGGUACGCGAGCUGGGUUUAGAACGUCGUGAGACAGUUCGGUCCCUAUCUGCCGUGGGCGCUGGAAGAUUGAGGGGGGCUGCUCCUAGUACGAGAGGACCGGAGUGGACGCAUCACUGGUGUUCGGGUUGUCAUGCCAAUGGCACUGCCCGGUAGCUACAUGCGGAAGAGAUAAGUGCUGAAAGCAUCUAAGCACGAAACUUGCCCCGAGAUGAAUCUUCCCUGAGCCUUUAAGGCUCCUGAAGGAACGUUGAAGACGACGACGUUGAUAGGCCGGGUGUG